GCAAGUCAUGUAAUGCUACAUUUCUCCAAACCUGUUCUGAUGAAGAAACAAACUCAUCUAUAGCUUGGAUGGCCUGCAGGUGAGUAAACUUAAAUUUUUGUGAAAUGGGACCAUAUUGUGUGCGUCACCACUCAUUUUUGUUUGCACCAUUAAAAACGAGGAACAAAAACAAACAUCUCACUCUCUGCAGAAGUACGUGGAAGGAGACGGGCCACGGCUCCCAUCUCGUGGCCAUUGCUCUCAGAUGCUGGGUCAUUGAGGCUGUCUGCUGGUGCCAAGGCUUCAGUUGGAAGAGCAGCUGCGGCUGCUUCAGCGCUUAACUGCUGGGCUGCGGCCGCCUGCGCCUCCUGGAGCUGCUGCUGUUGCUGAACCAGAGCAGCGAGUUCCUGCUGGGUCAAAACUAUAGGGAUGGUGGUGGUUUGCUGCCCAUCCUGACCUGCGUUUCCCUCACCUGAGACAGAAAGUAAAGUCAAGCAGAGAAGUCAAACUCUACUGCAUACAUCAUAAUGCAUAUGGCAGUCUCUCGUACACUUACUGAGCACAGCCUGCUGAGCCGCCUGUAGGACAGCCUGGAUGGCAAGGGCCUGGGCUUCUUCUGUAGCCGCAGCCUGUGCUGCAGCCUCGGCCGCUGCAGUCACAGCCAGCUCCUCUGGCGUCAGUCCAGUCACCAUGAGGGUGGUUUGCUGCCCUUCUGCAGACAUCAGCUCCUGGGGCAAAGCGAGGGCUUCUGAGUCUUGAGCUGCGAGGCUCAUCGAUUCUGCACCCUCCACACCGGCCUCCAUCUGCUGUCUCAGCCUGAUCCCCUUGACCUGGCUGUGCUUCCAUGGCGACAUGAACCUGUAGCAUGGUGCCCUCCUCUCCCCCUGCACUUUCAUCUAUGGCAACGACCCUGACAGCUCUCUCUUCAGCCAGCUCUCCCUGACACUCAGUCUGCAUAGGCUCUUCUCCCGCUGCUGCGGCCUCAGUGCUGGUCUGCUCCAUGGCCUCCGCCUCGCCCGGGACCUCAGCCACCACCGCAGAUCCAGCCAUAGACGAAAUCUCC
Molecule: long non-coding RNA, 1042 nt
Organism: Cyprinus carpio carpio
Lineage: Eukaryota; Metazoa; Chordata; Actinopteri; Cypriniformes; Cyprinidae
Source: Ensembl